This is a long non-coding RNA of Etheostoma spectabile (orangethroat darter), 68 nucleotides long. RefSeq lists it as uncharacterized. The record is from RefSeq and is a predicted model, not a curated record. The transcript is spliced from 3 exons. Lineage: Eukaryota; Metazoa; Chordata; Actinopteri; Perciformes; Percidae.
UUUGAGAUAGUAAUGAUAGAAAGGUGGGAGAGAGAUGGGGGAUGAGACGCAGCAAAUGGCCACAGGUC